Massilia timonae is the source of this 59-nucleotide regulatory RNA element. It matches the Rfam family "Selenocysteine insertion sequence 3". The record is from Rfam. NCBI's taxonomy places the organism in Bacteria, Pseudomonadati, Pseudomonadota, Betaproteobacteria, Burkholderiales, Oxalobacteraceae.
GUUUGACACGGACCUACGGUGGCCGGUCUGGCCCCGACGUUCGGACGUGGCGCGAUGAC